AAACAUGUCUUUUUGAAUUGUAUAUAAAGUCUAACCUGCCCACUGAAUAAUUUUAAAUGGCCGCAGUAUUUUGACUGUGCAAAGGUAGCAUAAUCAUUAGUCUUUUAAUUGAAGGCUGGUAUGAACGGUUGGACGAGGUAUAAACUGUUUCAUAUAAAUUUAUAAUAGAAUUUUAUAUUUUAGUUAAAAAGCUAAAAUUUUAUUAAAAGACGAGAAGACCCUAUAAAUCUUUAUAAUUAAUUUUAACUAAAUUUUUUUGAUUGAUUUUAUUUUUUUGACAUUAAUUAUUUUGUUGGGGUGAUGUUAAAAUUUAAUUAACUUUUAAUUUUUUAGAAUCAUUAAUUUAUGAUUUGUUGAUCCACUCAUAGUGAUUAUAAGAUUAAGUUACUUUAGGGAUAACAGCGUAAUUUUUUUUGAGAGUUCAUAUCGACAAUAAAGUUUGCGACCUCGAUGUUGGAUUAAGGUAUAAUUUUGGGUGUAGUUGUUCAAAAAUUAAGUCUGUUCGACUUUUGAAUCCUUACAUGAUC
Molecule: ribosomal RNA, 527 nt
Filed under: Anastrepha grandis (South American cucurbit fruit fly)
Lineage: Eukaryota; Metazoa; Arthropoda; Insecta; Diptera; Tephritidae
Description: partial small subunit ribosomal RNA
Rfam family: Bacterial large subunit ribosomal RNA
Source: RNAcentral